GAAAAUCUCAUGAGUUAGAGUUGA
Molecule: non-coding RNA, 24 nt
Filed under: Arabidopsis thaliana (thale cress)
Lineage: Eukaryota; Viridiplantae; Streptophyta; Magnoliopsida; Brassicales; Brassicaceae
Source: RNAcentral